GCAUUGGUGGUUCAGUGGUAGAAUUCUCAUUUUGCAUGUAAGAGACCUGGGUUUGAUUGCUGGCCAAUGCA
RNAcentral lists this transfer RNA (71 nucleotides) under Loxodonta africana (African savanna elephant). It matches the Rfam family "tRNA". Rfam says of the family: Transfer RNA (tRNA) molecules are approximately 80 nucleotides in length. Their secondary structure includes four short double-helical elements and three loops (D, anti-codon, and T loops). Lineage: Eukaryota; Metazoa; Chordata; Mammalia; Proboscidea; Elephantidae. The record is from Rfam by way of RNAcentral.